This 452-nucleotide ribosomal RNA is filed under the name Triticum aestivum (bread wheat). RNAcentral's name for it is "partial small subunit ribosomal RNA". The record is from RNAcentral. Lineage: Eukaryota; Viridiplantae; Streptophyta; Magnoliopsida; Poales; Poaceae.
CCCGUCAUGGAGUGACCCUGCCGCCGCGAGUUCGAGUUACGGGUGCAGGGGAGAGACCAGGGACUAACUGCGGGAUGAGCAGCUACAGGGAUAGGUCUUCACCAUUAAGUCAGUUGAUAGACGUGAACAUUUAAACAUUAAUUCUUCUGGUUCUUCACCUGUACCUAGACUUACCUCUUCUCCUAUUCCUACCGCUUACUGAACACGUAGAAGGUACUAGUCUUGAUCUAGACAAAUAAGAACACGCUACCAGUACCAGACUGAACAUACUAACCGAUCAUCAAAAACAAACGUACCAAUGUGCCAACUUAUAACAUGUCUACCUGCUCAACACAUUGGGACUAUCAAAAACAAACGUACCAACUUAUAACAGCCCUACCUUAUCAAUAACAGGUAUACUAAUACGAAUAUAUUUACUACUAACAUGUUAAUUUCACAGUAUAACAACAGUC